CUUACCAUGCAGUCGAACGGUGAACACGGAGCUUGCUCUGUGGGAUCAGUGGCGAACGGGUGAGUAACACGUGAGCAACCUGCCCCUGACUCUGGGAUAAGCGCUGGAAACGGCGUCUAAUACUGGAUAUGUGACGUGACCGCAUGGUCUGCGUUUGGAAAGAUUUUUCGGUUGGGGAUGGGCUCGCGGCCUAUCAGCUUGUUGGUGAGGUAAUGGCUCACCAAGGCGUCGACGGGUAGCCGGCCUGAGAGGGUGACCGGCCACACUGGGACUGAGACACGGCCCAGACUCCUACGGGAGGCAGCAGUGGGGAAUAUUGCACAAUGGGCGAAAGCCUGAUGCAGCAACGCCGCGUGAGGGAUGACGGCCUUCGGGUUGUAAACCUCUUUUAGCAGGGAAGAAGCGAAAGUGACGGUACCUGCAGAAAAAGCGCCGGCUAACUACGUGCCAGCAGCCGCGGUAAUACGUAGGGCGCAAGCGUUAUCCGGAAUUAUUGGGCGUAAAGAGCUCGUAGGCGGUUUGUCGCGUCUGCUGUGAAAUCCCGAGGCUCAACCUCGGGCCUGCAGUGGGUACGGGCAGACUAGAGUGCGGUAGGGGAGAUUGGAAUUCCUGGUGUAGCGGUGGAAUGCGCAUAUAUCUUGAGGAACACCGAUGGCGAAGGCAGAUCUCUGGGGCCUAACUGACCUGAGGAGCGAAUGGGUGGGGAGUAAAUAUGCUUAGAUCCCUGGUAC
This 731-nucleotide ribosomal RNA is filed under the name Microbacterium sp. RTN145. Its description in RNAcentral is "bacterial SSU rRNA". It matches the Rfam family "Bacterial small subunit ribosomal RNA", at positions 48 to 793 of the family's 1533-position model. The record is from RNAcentral. Lineage: Bacteria; Bacillati; Actinomycetota; Actinomycetes; Micrococcales; Microbacteriaceae.